GCUAACGUAGCUUAAUUAAAGCAUGACACUGAAGAUGUUAAGAUGGGCCCUAGAAAGCCUCGUAAGCA
This 68-nucleotide transfer RNA is filed under the name Eleotris amblyopsis (large-scaled spinycheek sleeper). RNAcentral's name for it is "tRNA-Phe". It matches the Rfam family "tRNA". From Rfam's summary of the family: Transfer RNA (tRNA) molecules are approximately 80 nucleotides in length. Their secondary structure includes four short double-helical elements and three loops (D, anti-codon, and T loops). Lineage: Eukaryota; Metazoa; Chordata; Actinopteri; Gobiiformes; Eleotridae. The record is from RNAcentral.